Molecule: long non-coding RNA, 2848 nt
Filed under: Homo sapiens (human)
Lineage: Eukaryota; Metazoa; Chordata; Mammalia; Primates; Hominidae
Description: HSALNT0225567
Source: RNAcentral
GCAAGCUUGAGAUGCUAGGAAUUCAGCUGUGGAAGUUCAGCUCUCAAGAAGCUCACAUCUAGGGUGCGGAGUUAGAGAAAUCAGACCGGCACAUGAUACAGAAGGGACUAGGUGCUAUGGAGAGACGUGAGCUGGGGAGGGGAUAGCCUGUGUUGGGGUGGAGGCUGCUGCUUUAGAGAGAUGAGGGAAGGCCACUGGAAUCUGAUGCUGAGCAGAGAUCAGGGAUUUUAUAUAAGGGAAGUGAGGGAGUGAGUCGUGGCCACCUGAGGAGAGCAUUCCAGGAUAAGGAAACAGCAGGUGCAAAGGCACUGCUGCAGGGAGGUGCUUGGUAUAUCCAGGGAGUGUGGAGAAGUCCCGUGUGGUGGCUGCAGAGGGAGCAGGGGGAGGAUGGUGGGAGGUGAGAAUGGAGACCUCUGAGGUAGGUCCUCGAGAGCCUUAGAGGCCACGCGAAUUGCAUGGGACCCACUGGAGGGAGCCAUUCCCAGAGCCAUGACAGGUUGGGACCUGCCUGCAAAGGACCACAUUCUGGCCGUGGGGAAGGGCAGAAGCAGGAGACCAAUUUGGAGGCUGGGACCUGGGGCCUGGGGCCUAGGACAGGCAUGGUGAGCAGUGGUCAGUUUCUGAAUCCAUUCUCAGGGUAGACACAAUAGGACUGGUGAUUGAUUGAAUAUGAGAUGUGAGACAAAGACAAAUGCCAAGGACGGCUCCAAGGGUUUUUCCUGAACAGCUGCCAGGAUGAAGUUGGCAUUUAUUUAGGUGGAGGAAGAAAGGAAGGAGCAGGUUUGGGAGCUGGAGAUAGAGAUUCGUUUUUGAAAGUGUUAAUUUGAGAUGUUCAAUUAGACACAGAGUGGAGAUGCCAAAUAGACAAUUAUACAGGAGUCUGGUGCUGAGUGUUGAGGUCUGGGAUGGAGACAUCACCCUGAGGGUCCUUGGCAUUUAAAUGCUGUUUAAAACCAGGAGGCUAGAUGAGCUCACCAAGGGAGAGGGAAGGGAUAGAAGAGGGAGAGGGUCUGAGGACUCAGCCCUGGAGCAUAGAUAAUUAACAGGCAGAUGGGGAGAAACUGGGAGAGGGGACUGAGAAGGAACAGCAGGCAAGAGAAAGAGGGCUAAGGGAGAGCCAUGACCUACAAUCAGGUCAAGAAGCAUUUCUACAGGAGAGAUUUAUGCUGCCGAUCUUCCAAUAGAUCAAGUAGCGUGGAGACCACUGAGACCCAGCCACUGGAGACCAUUAGCCUAGGGAGGUCAUUGGUGUCCUUGCCAAGCCCUGUUUUGGUUCUGGGUCCAGGAGACAGAGUGUAGUCAGAGGAGAGGAAUCACAGACAGCCCAGUGCAGACAACAGGCAACUCUUUCAAGGAGUCAUCUUAUAAAGACUGAAGCUGAGAGGCUUUUUUCCCAGUCAUCUUGACCACAAGAUCAGUUCUCUCCGUGAACAUAAAGACAAAAUCGCUGUGACACCAACAGACAGAUUUUUUAACAAGUGGAAUCCAUGUCUCAUGUAAACAAUGUGCUACUGCCUGCCAUUGAGUUCUCUUCCCUCGUUUUCCUUUUUGAAGACUUAACCCCUUUCCCAAAGGGACAUGUGCUCAGGUUUCUUGACUCCACAGCAAUCCCUUCUGUUGUGUAAGGCAAACUGAUCACCUUUCACAACGAGACAAGAAGUGAUUUAAAUCAGAUGGUGACCCAAUGACAAUGUCUGUGCUGUGUCCUAUGGAGAAAACCAAAGCUGAAAUCCAGUAACAGGUGAUAGGAAGAUGUGGAGAUAGAAACUGACCUGAAUUCUGAAAAACAACAAGAGAAAAGGAAGUCUGAGAACAAGCUGGUGUUCUUCCAAAACCUGUUCAUUGUGUGAAUUCCUAGAAGAUAGCGUGACACCGAGAAACAGGCUGGAGUGACACACCCAAACAAUUAUGCUACCUGGAUCUGCCAAGGCAGGAGGACAAACUCAGCAGCCUGGAGAAUGGAGGACACAGUCCAGAGUUGCAACAACAGCAGCAAUUACUUUUGACCACUCACUAUCGGAAAACACUGCUUUAGGCUGUGGAAAUGCAGUAGUAGAAAAGCCAGGCAUAAUCCUUAUCCCCAUGGAGGCACUAUCUCCAUCCAAGGGCAGAGGACCUGCAAGCCCUGAGGUCUCCAGCUGAGGUUCCUCUCUGAAGGACAGUUGCACUUCAGGUCAUGCUGCAGUAUGAGAGAAGGCAGCGUGACAUCUUGAGUUUCUAAUGCUCACACCUGUCUCAGUGAAGCAUUUUUACAGAGUAAUCACCACCCCCCUCACACCCCCAACAAUGUCAUCAAGUCAUAAAUCUCCUUGGUUUGAAAUAUUGGAUUAAAAUAUGAUUAAACAAUAUGUCUCAAUGGAAAGUUAAGAUAUGUGUGCAUUCUCUAUCCUCAAACAAUCCUGGAAUGCCCCCCCCCCCACUUUAUGAUUUUUUAUGAUUUGCCUAUCAGAAAUCUAUGCUAAAACUCUUAAAGAGUUUAGUUCUUAGAUUUGUAAGAGUAAGAGCAUGUAAGAAAUUAUUCUUUGACAGUUCUCAUUGCUAGCAACAAAGUUUUUAGGUUCCAAAGAGGUAUUUACUUAGAAACUAAAUAGUGUGAACCAUUAGCGCAGAAGAUGGUGCAGUAGAACAAAUGGGGAUGAGGUAUGAGGAGAGCCAAAUGCUAAUCCUGGUGUGUCACUGAUGUGACUUGGACACUGCCACCCCUCUGGACCUCUGCUUCCUCUUAGGGAAGAAGUGCUCUGUGGGGGUUCUCUGAGGUUACUCCUACAGUUCAUGUUCUAUGAGCCUGGAAAGAGCAAAAAUGUCUCAUAUAUACUACGUAAUGUUGUCUAAGUGGUACAUAGCAGAU